UUUUUAGAGAGUUUGAUCCUGGCUCAGGACGAACGCUGGCGGCGUGCCUAACACAUGCAAGUCGAACGGAGCGACUCAACAGAAGGUCUUCGGACCGGAAGAUGACGAGCUUAGUGGCGGACGGGUGAGUAACGCGUGAGCAACCUGCCUACAAGAGGGGGAUAACGUUUGGAAACGAACGCUAAUACCGCAUAAAGUAUAUUAACGGCAUCGUAGAUAUACCAAAGGAGCAAUCCGCUUGUAGAUGGGCUCGCGUCUGAUUAGAUAGUUGGUGAGGUAACGGCUCACCAAGUCGACGAUCAGUAGCCGAACUGAGAGGUUGAUCGGCCACAUUGGGACUGAGACACGGCCCAGACUCCUACGGGAGGCAGCAGUG
Molecule: ribosomal RNA, 376 nt
Filed under: Oscillospiraceae bacterium
Lineage: Bacteria; Bacillati; Bacillota; Clostridia; Eubacteriales; Oscillospiraceae
Description: bacterial SSU rRNA
Rfam family: Bacterial small subunit ribosomal RNA
Source: RNAcentral